GAUGAACGCUGGCGGCGUGCCUAAUACAUGCAAGUCGAGCGAACAGAUAAGGAGCUUGCUCCUUUGACGUUAGCGGCGGACGGGUGAGUAACACGUGGAUAACCUACCUAUAAGACUGGGAUAACUUCGGGAAACCGGAGCUAAUACCGGAUAAGAUUUUGAACCGCAUGGUUCAAUAGUGAAAGACGGCCUUGCUGUCACUUAUAGAUGGAUCCGCGCCGUAUUAGCUAGUUGGUAAGGUAACGGCUUACCAAGGCAACGAUGCGUAGCCGACCUGAGAGGGUGAUCGGUCACACUGGAACUGAGACACGGUCCAGACUCCUACGGGAGGCAGCAGUAGGGAAUCUUCCGCAAUGGGCGAAAGCCUGACGGAGCAACGCCGCGUGAGUGAUGAAGGUCUUCGGAUCGUAAAACUCUGUUAUCAGGGAAGAACAAACGUGUAAGUAACUGUGCACGUCUUGACGGUACCUGAUCAGAAAGCCACGGCUAACUACGUG
This 497-nucleotide ribosomal RNA is filed under the name uncultured bacterium. Its description in RNAcentral is "partial 16S ribosomal RNA". It matches the Rfam family "Bacterial small subunit ribosomal RNA", at positions 28 to 507 of the family's 1533-position model. The record is from RNAcentral.